GAUGAAGAACGCAGCGAAAUGCGAUAAGUAGUGUGAAUUGCAGAAUUCAGUGAAUCAUCGAAUCUUUGAACGCACAUUGCGCCCGCCAGUAUUCUGGCGGGCAUGCCUGUUCGAGCGUCAUUUCAACCAUCAAGCCCCCGGCUUGUGUUGGGGACCUGCGGCUGCCGCAGGCCCUGAAAAGCAGUGGCGGGCUCGCUGUCACACCGAGCGUAGUAGCAUACAUCUCGCUCUGGGCGUGCUGCGGGUUCCGGCCGUUAAACCACCUUCAUAACCCAAGGUUGACCUCGGAUCAGGUAGGAAGACCCGCUGAACUUAAGCAUAUCAAUAAGCGGAGA
RNAcentral lists this unclassified non-coding RNA (335 nucleotides) under soil metagenome. RNAcentral describes it as "partial contains 5.8S ribosomal RNA, internal transcribed spacer 2, and large subunit ribosomal RNA". The stretch from base 1 to 120 matches the Rfam family "5.8S ribosomal RNA", at positions 35 to 154 of the family's 154-position model. The record is from RNAcentral.